This 621-nucleotide ribosomal RNA is filed under the name uncultured bacterium. RNAcentral's name for it is "bacterial SSU rRNA". It matches the Rfam family "Bacterial small subunit ribosomal RNA", at positions 8 to 661 of the family's 1533-position model. The record is from RNAcentral.
AGAGUUUGAUCCUGGCUCAGGAUAAACGCUGGCGGCGUGCCUUAUACAUGCAAGUCGAGCGGUAAGGCCCCUUCGGGGGUACACGAGCGGCGGACGGCUGAGUAACACGUAGGAACGUACCCUAAAGUGAGGGAUAAGCAUUAGAAAUGGUGUCUAAUACCGCAUGUGACCCUUUAAAGGUUAAAGCUUUAUGCGCUUUGGGAGCGGCCUGCGUAUGAUUAGUUUGUUGGUGAGGUAAUAGCUCACCAAGACUACGAUCAUUAGCUGGUCUGAGAGGAUGAUCAGCCAGACUGGGACUGAGAACGGCCCAGACUCCUACGGGAGGCAGCAGUAGGGAAUUUUCCACAAUGGGCGAAAGCCUGAUGGAGCAACGCCGCGUGCAGGAUGAAUGCCUUCGGGUUGUAAACUGCUUUUAUAUGUGACGAUUUUGACGGUAGCAUAUGAAUAAGGAUCGGCUAACUCCGUGCCAGCAGCCGCGGUCAUACGGAGGAUCCAAGCGUUAUCCGGAAUUACUGGGCGUAAAGAGUUGCGUAGGUGGCAUAGUAAGCAAGUAGUGAAAUGGAGUGGCUCAACCACUUCUCCAUUAUUUGAACUGCUAAGCUUGAGAUCAAGAGAGGUACC